Molecule: ribosomal RNA, 214 nt
Filed under: Escherichia coli
Lineage: Bacteria; Pseudomonadati; Pseudomonadota; Gammaproteobacteria; Enterobacterales; Enterobacteriaceae
Also listed under: 1 other name
Description: partial 23S ribosomal RNA
Rfam family: Bacterial large subunit ribosomal RNA
Source: RNAcentral
GGGUUGUGAGGUUAAGCGACUAAGCGUACACGGUGGAUGCCCUGGCAGUCAGAGGCGAUGAAGGACGUGCUAAUCUGCGAUAAGCGUCGGUAAGGUGAUAUGAACCGUUAUAACCGGCGAUUUCCGAAUGGGGAAACCCAGUGUGUUUCGACACACUAUCAUUAACUGAAUCCAUAGGUUAAUGAGGCGAACCGGGGGAACUGAAACAUCUAAG